AAGAAAAAGGAUGGAUUCAAAUUAAAAUUCAUGUGUAUAUUUAGAAUGGAUCUCAACAUCUGCUGCAGUUUGACUGCCCAGGACACUCUGAAACUUUCAGCCUUUC
Long non-coding RNA from Dromaius novaehollandiae (emu), 106 nucleotides. RefSeq lists it as uncharacterized. The record is from RefSeq and is a predicted model, not a curated record. The transcript has 3 exons. NCBI's taxonomy places the organism in Eukaryota, Metazoa, Chordata, Aves, Casuariiformes, Dromaiidae.